GAAACAAAACUAACUCUCAAAGCUAAGAGUCUAAGCAGAUGAGUCUCAAUGUGGAUGAAGAUUUAGUGACUGAAAUGGAGGAAGCACCCACUUUAGCUCCAUCUAUACCAUUAGAAAAUGUUCAAGAAAUGGUAAGGAAUGAUCCUUUGCAUGUGCCUAUAGGAUAUGUGACGAGUCAAGAAGAAUUGGAGAAAGCCAAUUAUAUGCCUCACCUUUCAUCUGAGAUCCCUGUCAUUGAUUUAGCAUUGCUCUCAAAUGGAAACAAGGAGGAGUUGUUAAAAUUUGACGUAGCAUGCAAGGAGUGGGGUUUCUUUCAGAUAGUAAAUCAUGGUGUUCAAACAGAGCUUAUGCAGAAAAUGAAGGAUGCAGCAUCUGAGUUUUUCAAUCUUCCAAUAGAAGAGAAGAACAAGUAUGCAAUGGUUUCAAGUGAGACACAUGGUUAUGGGAAGGGUUGUGUAGUUUCUGGAGAGCAGACACUUGACUGGUCAGAUUCACUAAUAUUAAUCACAUACCCCACCCAGUACAGAAAGCUUCAAUUUUGGCCUAAAACUCCAGAGGGAUUCAUGGAGAUAAUAGAGGCUUAUGCAAGUGAAGUUAGACGAGUUGGGGAGGAACUGCUUAGUUCAAUGUCAGUGAUUAUGGGAAUGCGGAAGCAUGUUCUUUUUGGACUACAUAAAGAAUCGUAUCAAGUUUUACGACUGAACUAUUAUCCUCCUUGAAGCACACCUGAACAAGUGCAGGGUUUGAGUCCACAUUCUGACACAAGCAGCAUCACCUUGCUUAUGCAAGACGAUGAUGUAACUGGCUUAGAAAUUCGACACCAAGGAGGAUGGGUGCCAGUGAACCCAAUACCAGAUGCUCUAGUUGUCAAUGUUGGAGAUGUAACUGAGAUAUGGAGUAAUGGCAAAUACAAGAGUGUAGAACACAGAGCAAUGACAAAUAAGAACAAGGAAAGGAUUUCUUAUGGAUUAUUUUUGUGCCCACAGCAUGACGUGGAAGUUGAGCCACUUGAUCAUAUGAUAGAUUCUCAUAACCCCAAGUUGUUUCAGAAAGUAAGGUAUGGAGAUUAUUUGAGACAAUCUCUGAAAAGGAAGUUGGAGGGAAAAACACACCUAAAUGAGGCAAAGUUAAAGGAGUCUGAUCUAAGGAAUCAAGAUGAUUAAGAAAAGCAAAGGCCCAGUAAGAGAAAUGAGAAAAGAAAAGAAAGUUUGAAAGUACUCCCUCAUGCUGUCAUAUUUUGAUCCGUGUAUAAUAAUAAAUGCCAUAUUGUAUUUGUCAUAUUUUGUAUAAUAAAUGUCAUAUUCAUCUAGAGUAGAAUCUCUACUCUCUACUUAAUCCAAGCCCAACUGCAAGUAAGAUUUCAUUGUGAACCAACCUCUGUAACGUAAUCUCUG
Molecule: long non-coding RNA, 1394 nt
Filed under: Glycine max (soybean)
Lineage: Eukaryota; Viridiplantae; Streptophyta; Magnoliopsida; Fabales; Fabaceae
Description: uncharacterized LOC100780588 (LOC100780588)
Source: RNAcentral